This 590-nucleotide ribosomal RNA is filed under the name Puntioplites falcifer. Its description in RNAcentral is "partial 16S ribosomal RNA". It matches the Rfam family "Bacterial large subunit ribosomal RNA", at positions 1810 to 2603 of the family's 2925-position model. Lineage: Eukaryota; Metazoa; Chordata; Actinopteri; Cypriniformes; Cyprinidae. The record is from RNAcentral.
AAAACAUCGCCUCCUGCAACACAACCAAGUAUAGGAGGUCCAGCCUGCCCAGUGACUACAAGUUUAACGGCCGCGGUAUUUUGACCGUGCAAAGGUAGCGCAAUCACUUGUCUUUUAAAUAGAGACCUGUAUGAAUGGCUAAACGAGGGCUUAACUGUCUCCCCUUUCCAGUCAGUGAAAUUGAUCUACCCGUGCAGAAGCGGGUAUAAUAAUACAAGACGAGAAGACCCUUUGGAGCUUAAGGUACAAAACUCAACCACGCAAAGCAACUCAAUAAAAAGCAAAAACUUCGUGGAAUAUGAAAUUUUACCUUCGGUUGGGGCGACCACGGAGGAAAAGAAAGCCUCCAAGUGGACUGGGACAAACCUCCUAAAACUAAGAGAGACAUCUCUAAGCCACAGAACAUCUGACCAAACAUGAUCCGGCAAUAAGCCGAUCAACGAACCAAGUUACCCUAGGGAUAACAGCGCAAUCCUCUCCCAGAGUCCAUAUCGACGAGAGGGUUUACGACCUCGAUGUUGGAUCAGGACAUCCUAAUGGUGCAGCCGCUAUUAAGGGUUCGUUUGUUCAACGAUUAAAGUCCUACGUGA